This 253-nucleotide ribosomal RNA is filed under the name uncultured bacterium. RNAcentral's name for it is "partial 16S ribosomal RNA". It matches the Rfam family "Bacterial small subunit ribosomal RNA", at positions 524 to 776 of the family's 1533-position model. The record is from RNAcentral.
UACAGAGGUCUCAAGCGUUGUUCGGAUUCAUUGGGCGUAAAGGGUGCGUAGGCGGGCAGGUAAGUCCGUGGUGAAAUCUCUGAGCUUAACUCAGAAACUGCCAUGGAUACUAUUUGUCUUGAAUGUUGUGGAGGUAAGCGGAAUAUGUCAUGUAGCGGUGAAAUGCUUAGAUAUGACAUAGAACACCCAUUGCGAAGGCAGCUUACUACACAAAUAUUGACGCUGAGGCACGAAAGCGUGGGGAUCAAACAGG